UAGCUCAGCUGGGAGAGCACCUCCCUUACAAGGAGGGGGUCGGCGGUUCGAUCCUGUC
This 58-nucleotide transfer RNA is filed under the name Klebsiella pneumoniae. RNAcentral's name for it is "tRNA-Val". It matches the Rfam family "tRNA", at positions 8 to 63 of the family's 71-position model. From Rfam's summary of the family: Transfer RNA (tRNA) molecules are approximately 80 nucleotides in length. Their secondary structure includes four short double-helical elements and three loops (D, anti-codon, and T loops). Lineage: Bacteria; Pseudomonadati; Pseudomonadota; Gammaproteobacteria; Enterobacterales; Enterobacteriaceae. The record is from RNAcentral.